Molecule: non-coding RNA, 122 nt
Organism: Acanthosepion pharaonis
Lineage: Eukaryota; Metazoa; Mollusca; Cephalopoda; Sepiida; Sepiidae
Source: the annotation of a GenBank genome assembly
UUACGGUCAAAUCACGCUGAAAACACCGGUUCUCGUUCGAUCACCGAAGUUAAGCAUCGUAGAGCCAGGUCAGUUCUUCCGUUUUAGGAUGGGGACCGCUUGGGAACACCUGGUACUGUAAG